UACGAAGGGGGCUAGCGUUGCUCGGAAUCACUGGGCGUAAAGCGCACGUAGGCGGACUUUUAAGUCAGGGGUGAAAUCCUGGAGCUCAACUCCAGAACUGCCUUUGAUACUGGAAGUCUUGAGUUCGAGAGAGGUGAGUGGAACUGCGAGUGUAGAGGUGAAAUUCGUAGAUAUUCGCAAGAACACCAGUGGCGAAGGCGGCUUACUGGUCCGGUUCUGACGCUGAGGCACGAAAGCGUGGGGAGCAAACAGG
RNAcentral lists this ribosomal RNA (253 nucleotides) under uncultured bacterium. RNAcentral describes it as "partial 16S ribosomal RNA". It matches the Rfam family "Bacterial small subunit ribosomal RNA", at positions 524 to 776 of the family's 1533-position model. The record is from RNAcentral.